CGCCAUUCAGCCUGUCUGUCCUCGAUUAUGCUAAUUUUCUCCUCUAUGUUGUCUACACGGGCAUUCAGGGAAUCCGUGUUCUGUUUUAUCUGGUCCAUUGUGUUUUUCAUCUCAAGUAAUUCUGUUUGAUUCUUCUUUAUGAUUUCAAUCUCUUUUGUGAAGUAACUCCAGAACUUGGCUUGUUUCUCUAUCUUUCUCUCUACCUCAUUGAGUUUUUUGAUUAUAGCUGCUCUGAAUUCAUUAUCACUUAGUUUACCUAAUUCCAAGUCCUCAGGACUUAAUUCUGUGUUUUUAUUGUUUUCCUUCUGGUCUGGGGCUUUUAUAAAUUGCUGGAUGGUAGAGGAGCGGUUUUUUCUCAUGGUGGUAGAAUUCAGUUGCAGUUACAGCCUGUCGCCACUAGAUGGGGGUCAAGAGCGGCGUGUUAGCUCUCUGCUUUGGGGCAAGAUGGCUGCGCCCACUGGCUUCGCUGGGGGGGAGGGGCUGUUACUCACACGCGCCGGUCUGGGUUCAGAUCAGUUCUGUUCUGUGGUCUCCCAAGGCCCUUGAUUUAUAGGGUCCCCGCGGACGGAAGCUUUCCCCCUGUCAGCGGGUCUCCACUGAAUCAGCGGCAGGAGUCCUGGAUGAUCCCCCGGUCGCGCGGCCCCUCCCCCGCUCCUUCCCAACCCACGCCGCAGCGAUCGCAGACUCUAGGGGAGGGAGCGAAGUUCUCUCUAUCGUUCCAGCGCCUCCGAGGGUGUAAAGCAAGAAUAUUCCCGCAACAUGUGUUCAGACCUCAAAUCCAUGUAAAAGCCAGCCCAUAGUUACAAAUUAUGAACAGAGAUUAUUUUGCUCUUCACCCAGAGAUAAG
This 847-nucleotide long non-coding RNA is filed under the name Equus caballus (horse). Its description in RNAcentral is "lncRNA (ENSECAG00000044813.1)". Lineage: Eukaryota; Metazoa; Chordata; Mammalia; Perissodactyla; Equidae. The record is from RNAcentral.